GUCGGUGGCUGGCAUUCUCACCUGCUGGGCAAUCGUCUUCAAGCACUUUCUCAAAGAAUUUGACUGCGAAGAGGACGAAGAGACGCAGGAGAACAUUGCCAAGAUACUGGAGGACAAGUAUCUCACUCUUGGGGGCAUAAGCAAAGGCGAAGUAUUCAUCCUUGCCAGCCUGGUUGUCCUGUGCCUUCUGCUCGUCUUCCGCACAUCCACCCUGGCACCGUUCGGAUGGCAAGAGUUUAUCGGCAUUG
Molecule: long non-coding RNA, 248 nt
Organism: Ixodes scapularis (black-legged tick)
Lineage: Eukaryota; Metazoa; Arthropoda; Arachnida; Ixodida; Ixodidae
Exons: 3
Source: RefSeq, a predicted model, not a curated record